AGUCAUACUUCACAGUGGACGUGAUGCUUUUCAAAUAUCUACAUGCUUUUUUUAAGAAAACAAAAUAUCUACAUGCUUGAGCUUCCAAAAACUGAGCCAAUUUGGUUAAAUGAACAAACUAUUGUAACUAUAGAACUCUGAAUUUUAACGUUUGAGUAUUUGUUUUUCCCUGACUCAAUUUAUCUCCUAAUCCUUCCAUCAAAACAUAUAGGAGCCUUUACAAAACAUGUACUCCUAUCAUCCAUCUACCACUUUUGUGUUAACUUUCAGGAACAUUUGAAUACGAAAUCAUGAGAAAAAUUGGCAUGAACUUGUUGACUUCGCCGGCCAAAACAUUUGAAUACGAGCUGAUUGACCCCCAGCUGCCGGAUCGUGAUCCUAGACGCCUUCCCGUCCAAGUUCAUGCGCCUUGACCUCUUUACCCAGUGCCCUACCCCCUGUUCUUCUUCUUUCUGCUUCGCCAUUCUUCCUCAUGUGAUACGGAGGUGGCCGAUCUUCUCGACGUACGAUCGCUGAACCACAUAUAGUGGUAGAAAGAUAACUAUUGUACCCUCUGAUCUCCAUGGACCAGCAAGAACAAUCUUGAUAAGUUGCCAUCAAACCCUCAAUUCCCAACAGAAAAGCAAGCACGAUCUUCGGCGGAGCGUCCAAUUCUCCUUCUAACAUAUGCAUAGGAAGAAUAGGCAUGCGACCCUCAUCCUGGAGAAGCACGUAGCUAAAUCACUUCAUAAUUCGAGUCUAAGGUUACAUGGAUG
Molecule: long non-coding RNA, 755 nt
Filed under: Setaria viridis
Lineage: Eukaryota; Viridiplantae; Streptophyta; Magnoliopsida; Poales; Poaceae
Description: long non-coding RNA (SVIR_LNC006933)
Source: RNAcentral